GACGAACGCUGGCGGCGUGCUUAACACAUGCAAGUCGAACGGAAAGGCCCUGCUUUUGUGGGGUGCUCGAGUGGCGAACGGGUGAGUAACACGUGAGUAACCUGCCCUUGACUUUGGGAUAACUUCAGGAAACUGGGGCUAAUACCGGAUAGGAGCUCCUGCUGCAUGGUGGGGGUUGGAAAGUUUCGGCGGUUGGGGAUGGACUCGCGGCUUAUCAGCUUGUUGGUGGGGUAGUGGCUUACCCAGGCUUUGACGGGUAGUCGGCCUGAGAGGGUGACCGGCCACAUUGGGACUGAGAUACGGCCCAGACUCCUACGGGAGGCAGCAGUGGGGAAUAUUACACAAUGGGCGGAAGCCUGAGGCAGCAACGCCGCGUGCGGGAAGACGGCCUUCGGGUUGUAAACCGCUUUCGCCUGUGACGAAGCGUGAGUGACGGUAAUGGGUAAAGAAGCACCGGCUAACUACGUG
Molecule: ribosomal RNA, 468 nt
Filed under: uncultured bacterium
Lineage: Bacteria
Description: partial 16S ribosomal RNA
Rfam family: Bacterial small subunit ribosomal RNA
Source: RNAcentral